Molecule: long non-coding RNA, 2186 nt
Organism: Felis catus (domestic cat)
Lineage: Eukaryota; Metazoa; Chordata; Mammalia; Carnivora; Felidae
Exons: 2
Source: RefSeq, a predicted model, not a curated record
UCUAUGGCCCCUGCUCAGGAACUGCAGUUACUACACUUGCCCCCAGAGGGUGCUACAGACUGACCCUAAGGCAGACCAUCUACGGGCUGGCCAGAGAGGUGUCAUGUGACCUGGCAGGAUGGUCAUGUCCAUGAGGAACCGGACCAGAGAAUGUGAAAAGCAGCAGCCAAACAAUCAAGGGCAUCCUAAGAGGGCAGUGUGGGCUGUGACGUGCAAGCAGAGAGGGUGGCUGGUCCCUGGAGCCGUGUUGGUUCCCCACGUCCUUCAAACUCCAGUUUCAGUCCACGUGUAACCUUUCUGCAAAGCCCUCUCUACAUUAGGUGCCCUUAGUGAGACUCCUUUCUACCCAAAGACCCUGACUCACAGCAGCAAGAUGGAAACUGGGCAGGACACAGGAAGUAGAGGCACGGAGAAGCAGCAGCCCGGGGAAGCCAGAGCAGAAGGCGGCAACUCCCAAAAGGUGCCGAAGUGAGGGGAAUCACGGUGAAACAACACAGAAUGACCAUGGACAGUUGUACAGGAUAACAGGAAGGAAAAUGCGUAAGAAUUAUCUGGCGGGAAGCAAAGCUUUAGCAAUUUAAGCCUGGGCAGUGAGAAACUGCAGACUCUACAGGACGAAGGAAGAGGACAACAGGAACAGGAGAGAAAAGACAACAAGGAACUGUCCUUCCCCUGCUCUGCUCAGUGCUGCUGGCCCAUGAGCUCUGCAAGCUGAAUCUCUAGGCUGUCACCACCAGUCAGCUGCUUCCAGCCAGACACUGGCAGGAGACUGGAGGGCGAGAAGAAGGAAGAAAUCAGGGUUUUCUCCUCCUCCGCUUCAUGCAAAACUUCUGGCAGUGAUCGCCUUCCCCAUGCCUCCAAAUCCCCAGACAGACCUGCACGGUUGGCUGCAGUUUCUCUCGGGGCGGGGGCGGGGAUCACAGCCUAGGCUUGGAUAACACCACCUGCUCCCUUUUCCUCCCCAACCAGGGGUGUGCCAGAGCUGGCUUGUACUGGCUCACAAGGGCAGAUUGUUAAAUACUCAGGAAUUUUGCAAGCUGGUUGUUAAACUAAUGCUAGCUGGAAAUUGGCCAAUGCUACAAAUCAAGGCAUUUUUUUUUCUCCAGGGGGAGCUAGUUACCAGCACACUGCUGCCUCCAGGCUUCCUGUAGCUGCCAGUCUCAGUUUUGCCUCAAUGUUCCCUGAUUGGUAUCUCUUUUUACCACCCUGUAACCAAUUCACUGCACUACAUUCUAUUCUACAUGAGGACUACUUUCUGUUUUCCUGGUGGGACCGUGAUUGAUGUGCCGACGAUGAUAUCCUCAAGAGCUGUGUGCCAGCUCCCUUGUGAGAGCUCCUCAUUUCUUUCCAGCACCUGAAGGAUCUUCCUGGCUUCUUCGUCAUUUAAGAAACUGAAAUCAAACCCCUGAGGAACCUUCGUCAUUUUCUCUCCUGUGUGUGAACUGCACUUCAGCUCCUUGGCGCCUUCUGUUACGAGGACAUUUUUCAAGGUACAGAAGACCAGCUUCAGGAACCUGAUCCCAUAACCAAUAAGAAGGCCGCCCCUUUGAAAAUCUAAAACCACAAAGUGAGGGAACAGCCCACACCUACGGGUUCAGGUCGACAACACCUUAAUGACAUGUUUCGCUCCACCUAUCCAACCGGGAAGCGAAAGGCACGGCCCCGCCGACAGAGGGAACCAAUCCCAUUCCAAGGGGGCGGGGCCUUCCUCGUCUCCUCCCCCCCACCCGCAGCCUCGGCCUAUCAGACUUAAUCAAACUAACAAUUCUCCACAAGGCCGCACCUAGAGGAGGCCCGAGCUGAAGGGUUGGCGCCAACGUGCUGUGUUUUCGCUGUUGCUCUUUGCUCUCAGAACUCGAGCUGGACUAGUUGAAGGGCUGAGAAAGAAUGCGAAUCACAGUUAAUCCUCCUUUUCAAAGAAGAGCCCAUAGGAAGUAGAAUUGCAGUAGGAGCUUUGGAACUGGCACAAGAGUUACCCUAUUUGAAAGAAGGGCUGAACUCAAUGCCCUGGGGGCUGUGGCCUGACCAGGCCCAAGGGAUAAAUUUAGUUCCUGGAAAUGAGUUCUUUGCCAAGCCUCCCUUCUCACAGACACCCCCAAGCCACCCUCCUACAAAAGUCAUUGUCAGGCUUUAAGGAAAACAAGACAAAACAAAACAAAAUAAAACAAAAAACUUUUACAACCGCA